GCUCAGAAACUACAAAGGAAUUGACGGGGCCCGCGACAAGCGGUGGAGUAUGUGGUUUAAUUCGAUGCAACGCGAAGAACCUUACCUGGUCUUGACAUCCCGGAGACCCUUAGGAAACUAGGGGGUGCUUCCAUCUGGAAGAAUCUGGAGACAGGUGCUGCAUGGCUGUCGUCAGCUCGUGUCGUGAGAUGUUGGGUUAAGUCCCGCAACGAGCGCAACCCUGCCUUUAGUUGCCAGCAGUUCGGCUGGGCACUCUAAAGGGACUGCCGGUGUUAAACCGGAGGAAGGUGGGGAUGACGUCAAGUCCUCAUGGCCUUUAUGACCAGGGCUACACACGUACUACAAUGGCCGAUACAAAGGGCAGCGACACUGCGAGGUGAAGCCAAUCCCGUAAAAUCGGUCUCAGUCCGGAUUGGAGUCUGCAACUCGACUCCAUGAAGUUGGAAUCGCUAGUAAUCGUGGAUCAGCAUGCCACGGUGAAUACGUUCCCGGGCCUU
Molecule: ribosomal RNA, 497 nt
Filed under: uncultured Desulfobulbus sp.
Lineage: Bacteria; Pseudomonadati; Thermodesulfobacteriota; Desulfobulbia; Desulfobulbales; Desulfobulbaceae
Description: bacterial SSU rRNA
Rfam family: Bacterial small subunit ribosomal RNA
Source: RNAcentral